This 29-nucleotide small RNA is filed under the name Bombyx mori (domestic silkworm). RNAcentral's name for it is "ovarian small RNA-29367". The record is from RNAcentral. Lineage: Eukaryota; Metazoa; Arthropoda; Insecta; Lepidoptera; Bombycidae.
UCGUUUACGGCAGGCCGCGCGGGGCCGGG